RNAcentral lists this non-coding RNA (21 nucleotides) under Caenorhabditis elegans. The record is from RNAcentral. Lineage: Eukaryota; Metazoa; Nematoda; Chromadorea; Rhabditida; Rhabditidae.
UCAAACAAUAUUCGGAGUUUU